Non-coding RNA from Peromyscus maniculatus bairdii (prairie deer mouse), 323 nucleotides. NCBI's taxonomy places the organism in Eukaryota, Metazoa, Chordata, Mammalia, Rodentia, Cricetidae. The record is from RefSeq and is a predicted model, not a curated record.
CAGGAAGUAGGUCUCUUUCUGAGGGGAAGGACGCCAGCGACAGCCAAGGGUUAGUGCCUGAGAGACUGUUGGCUGAAGAGUUGGAAAUUCGGUAGACAGUAUGCAUUGGUAAAGUGUCUGCACUGUGGACCUUAUAGUUCUGUGUGAGUCUGGGCUCACUCAUCAGUCAGUGGAUAUCCAAGUCAACAUUUGUCCUGGCUGGUCUAGGCAACCACAGUCCUGGUCCAACUUCAGGAUUCGCCCAAGGACCAGUAAAAUCAUGAAGAGGAGGAGGAAGAGGAGCUGAAGAGGCUCAACUUACCAAGGAGUCUGGAUCUGGUGAG